Pseudomonas fluorescens is the source of this 68-nucleotide regulatory RNA element. It matches the Rfam family "Repression of heat shock gene expression (ROSE) element". NCBI's taxonomy places the organism in Bacteria, Pseudomonadati, Pseudomonadota, Gammaproteobacteria, Pseudomonadales, Pseudomonadaceae. The record is from Rfam.
UACGCGAUGCCGAAUCCGGGUCGCGUACUUAAUCACUUGGAGAAAACUCAGGAGAUUUUGCAAUGGCU